This 192-nucleotide small nuclear RNA is filed under the name Phaeodactylum tricornutum CCAP 1055/1. RNAcentral's name for it is "snRNA EPrPhatr3G00000013134". It matches the Rfam family "U2 spliceosomal RNA". Rfam says of the family: U2 is a small nuclear RNA (snRNA) component of the spliceosome (involved in pre-mRNA splicing). Complementary binding between U2 snRNA (in an area lying towards the 5' end but 3' to hairpin I) and the branchpoint sequence (BPS) of the intron results the bulging out of an unpaired adenosine, on the BPS, which initiates a nucleophilic attack at the intronic 5' splice site, thus starting the first of two transesterification reactions that mediate splicing. The record is from Rfam by way of RNAcentral. Lineage: Eukaryota; Bacillariophyta; Bacillariophyceae; Surirellales; Neidiaceae.
UUAUCUCUCUUCGCCUUAUUGGCUUUGAUCUUGUGUAGUAACUGUUCUAUAUCAUUUAACAAUGAUAUGCCUUCUUCGGAAGGCUCUUGUUAAACUAUUCUUUGUGACCUCGGUAGUGUCCCUUGCGCUUGCGCAACACACAACCAUGCAUGGUCUUGGCAUUUCACUCACCGCCUUGACCGUGUACCCCCA